AUUUAGGGCAUUUUAAUGUUAGAUCGUAGUUUGCAAGGCACCAUAACUCUAGACGCACAUACACGUUUUACAUCAGCCCUUAAUUCCCAUUAGUCCCGCAAAUCUCAACGUGGAUGUAUCUAACCCUCGUAUUUUUGCGCCUUUCUAUGGCUUGCAAGUCCUAGUCAUUCGGCGGACUCUCAUUACGAUGCAGAGCGCUUGGGGUAGAUGAAUGCCUUCCAGCCUGCAGAGUCUGAAAUUUGAGGAAAUUUACCCGAACGGAGACAAGGACACACGUCCCAACAUGCAGUGUUCCAUUUCAGGGCCAAGUCUGUCAUUUCUACUGGCACCACUAUGAGAAGUGCUGGUGCUAAAGUAUGUUUGCUUUGCUGAAUGCUUCCCUUUUGAGGUCUGCAGACCUUAUGUGAAGGAAAGUCCAUUGACGGCUUUGCACAACACUUUCGUUAUUUCCAUGGCUCGUUAGAAUAUUAGUCACAGGAGGGAGCCCUACAGAUUUCUCCUGGGACCACUUUUAUUUAGCAACGUGGUGUACAUUUGUGCCUUGGAUAGUAGGAGCAGAAUGUUUGCAUAAUAAACAUUUCAUUGUUUCGAAAGAGGAUGUAAGCAUAUUGAAUUGACAAAGUUUCAAGCUAUCUCCAGGAUAUUUUGAAUCAAUAUUAAAAUGUCUUUACAGCCAGUAUACUUUUACUACUGUGGUUUCAAUAAAUGUGCUCUGAACGGCCUAAA
Stegostoma tigrinum is the source of this 726-nucleotide long non-coding RNA. RefSeq lists it as uncharacterized. The transcript is spliced from 3 exons. The record is from RefSeq and is a predicted model, not a curated record. NCBI's taxonomy places the organism in Eukaryota, Metazoa, Chordata, Chondrichthyes, Orectolobiformes, Stegostomatidae.